GCAGCAGGAAUGUGCCCAGCCGGCCGAUCACAGGAUGUGGACGUGAGUCAACCAAGCGAGAAGUUCCAUCUGGAAACUCGGGCAUGAGGUUUAAAUGUGGUCUGCUCUGCCUCAGGCUGGCUGUGACCUUGAGCUGGUGAUGUCCCUGCCUCAGUUUCCUCACCUUCUGAUGGAGAUGGGAGGGGAAGAAAGCAGCUGCCUCUGGGUGGUGGCAGAGAUGCCCAUGUCUAGGACCUCCAGGCCUUAACUAAUCAGGGGCACUGAUGAAGCCAGCGGGGCUCCACUGGGGACCACAGGCAAGACUGGGCCAGGACGAGGCGGUCACGCAGAGAAAGAAGAUAAAAGGGAACAGAAGAGAAAAUUCAAAAGGAGCACGGGCCUCCCCGGGAGUGGGCUUCAGCCUCCCUAGACUCCUGUCUCCUUCCAAGGGCUAGGCCUGGGGGACCAGAAGCAAGAGUCCCUAGAGCGUCCAAGAUUUUUGGUUUCAAACCAAUUUCCUGCUGACCAGAAUGAAAUGGAGCCACAUUCCAGCACGAUGCACCUGCUGACCUCCUGCAAGUCAGGGACCUUCUCUGCCCCUCUUUUGCUCUGCUGCAGGAGGGAGAAGCUGGGAAUGUGUUCCUCUGGGGUCCCAUCACCUCCAGCCAGCCACUGUCCCUGUCUCCCCAAAACCUCCUCGUUGUCCCUCCUCUGUCCUCCUCCUCCUCCAUCUGCCUUCGCCCUGCUCUCCUCUUUUUCGCCUGAGGUUCGUGCUGCCUCCUCACCUCUUGUCCUGUUUCUCCCUUCUCUCUGCUCCCUCCUUUGAUCUUGCUAUUUUGCUUCUCUUUCCCUUCCUCUCUUCUCCUCCCUCCCCUUCCUCCCUGCUCCCUGCCUCAGCUUCUCAGUCUCUCUCCGUUCUUCCUCUAGCUUCCUUCCCUCCCCAGAAGACCCAGCCCUUCCUAGAGCCCCAGAAGCCAGGGUUCAUGCCCCAGCUCUCUACCCACACAUGCUGUGCAACCCUGGGCCAGUCACUGGUCUCUUGGGCCUCAGUUCAACAGAUGGCUGUCUUGGUGAUGUGAGAUCAUAGGGUGGAAGCACCCAGAAUGGUGCCAGGCACUCAAAAAUUUUUUUCUUUUCCUUUUUAAGGAACUACUAACCGUGAGGUUAUGGAUUACCAAACCGUUCCUGUUCUUGGAAUCUGGGUCCUACUAUUCCCAAGAAUUUGAAUUACCACGGGUCCCUGGGGAUGUAAGGGGAUGAGGCUUCUGAUGUACUUUGGGAGGGGGAGGAGUGGAAAGAGGAGUUGGGAGGACACUCUAGCAUUGCCCAGAGGGCAGAGGACAUUCUGCCUAUUUCCAGAGGUUAUUGACCCUGGAUCUCUUUUAUGGAGUUCCUCACCCAGGCCCCUUGAGCUUGGCCAUACUUGAGGCAAUGGGAUAUCUUCCUUCUCCUGGAGCCCCUUGAAUCUUAGGCCUCGGGAACACACAGUCUACUGUGUUUCUUGGCUGCACCCACGGAGGACAGCCCCCAUACUCCUUGCUUACAACCAGCAAAGACUCCACAGCCAUCCCUGCACACGACUCAGGCUCCUUGGCUUGGCACUCAAGGCUCUUUGCUUUCCUGUCCUGCUUUGCUUCCAGCUGCAAAGAUGGUGGCUUCCUGUUUUCCUCUUCGUUUCCUUUGCUUAAGUUGAUUCUCAGCCAGACAUGCUUUCCCCCUGCACGCUUCCCUAAGCCAUCCUAUCUGGGACCCUGACCCAAUCAAUGGUUCCCUAAUGCACCUUUGAGACCAAGUGUACCUGGCACCUCCUCUCUUGCCCCACUAUCUGCUCACAUGACCCUCUGCAGGCCUGUAAGCUGCUGGAGGCUCCGAGUAUGCCUCAUUCAUGUCUAUCCCCCUUACUAGGCCCAGACCAUGGAAGACACUCAAUAAAAAGUAAGUGAUUAAAUGACAACCUCUACGGAAAAGAGUAUGGAGAUUUCUCAAAGAACUAAAAACAGAACUACCUUUUGGCCAGAUGCAGUGGCUCACACCUAUAAUCCCAACAUUUGGGAAGGCUGAGGCAGGUGGAUUGCUUGAGCCCAGGAGUUCAAGAUCAGCCUGGGCAACAUGGUGAAACCCUAUCUCUACAAAAAAUACAGAAAAUUAGAUGAGACUACAGGUGGCACACAUCCAUAGUACCAGCUACUCCAGAGGCUGAGGCGGGAGGAUCGCUUGAGCCCAGGAGGUCCAGGCUACAGUGGGCCAAGAUCACGCCAUUGCACUCCAGCCUCAGUGAUAAAGUGGCAUUCUGUCUCAAAAGAAAAAGAACUGGCCAAGCAUGGUGGCUCACGUCUGUAAUCCCAGCACUUUGGGAGGCCGAGGCAGGUGGAUCACAUGAGAUCAGGAGUUUGAGACUAGCCUGGCCAACAAUGAUGAAACCCCAUCUCUACUAAAAAUACAAUAAUUAGCUGGGCGUGGUGGCGGGCGCCUGUAAUCCCAGCUACUCAGGAGGCUGAGGCAGGAGAAUCAUUUGAACCCGGGAGGCAAAGUGAGCCAAGAUUGUGCCACUGCACUCCAGCCUGGGCAACAAGAGCGAAACUCAGUCUCAAAAGAAAAAGAAAAAGAGAGAAAAGAAGAAAGGAAAAGAAAUAUCAUUUGAUCCAGCAAUCUCACUGAGUAUCUAACCAAAGGAAAAUAAAUCACUAUACCAAAAA
This 2675-nucleotide long non-coding RNA is filed under the name Homo sapiens (human). RNAcentral describes it as "SLC39A13 antisense RNA 1, transcript variant 5 (SLC39A13-AS1)". Lineage: Eukaryota; Metazoa; Chordata; Mammalia; Primates; Hominidae. The record is from RNAcentral.